GCUAAGAAGGCCCUUUUUCCAUUUGUCACCUAGCUUAUGUCGGAUGUUGAGGGGCAGAGGACAGACCCCCAAAAUAACUUUGAUGCAUGGGCAGGAUAAUAUGGAAGCAGACAUUUCUUCAGGAUGGUAUGGAAUGUGGCACUCCUUUAAGUACUUGGGUCUGCAGCCAUGAGGGAUUUAAAAGUCAGCACAGCUACUGCAGAAGAAAACAAGGUAUUGGACUAUAAAUAUGGUUGCCCACUUUUUUUCUUAUCAAGGCUGCUGUGCCUUCUACCAGCUUCAUGACAGGAAGAAUUGGCAAUAGCAGAAGCUUUCCCCAACCCUCUAGAGCAUAUAGGGAGAGGCACAGUGAGGCUCAAUGUCUGGGAGCAACUGACCUUGAAAGUGAAAAAUGGUUGGAUGCUGUAGCACACUGGACCCAUAAAAACCAACACUGAAAAGAUAACUGAUGACAAGGCAAGUGAGAAAAUUACUUAUCUGAUACACAGAUACACGUUUUUAUAAAUACACAGCUGACCAUCUGAAUGAAGCUUCUGGUCCACUGGUGGUCCCCAGACCACCGUUUGGGAAUCCUUGUGGCAAAGGAUAUUAUCCUGUUACCAUGGUUAAUGGUAUCAAAA
This is a long non-coding RNA of Rhineura floridana, 620 nucleotides long. RefSeq lists it as uncharacterized. The transcript is spliced from 4 exons. NCBI's taxonomy places the organism in Eukaryota, Metazoa, Chordata, Lepidosauria, Squamata, Rhineuridae. The record is from RefSeq and is a predicted model, not a curated record.